UACGUAGGUGGCAAGCGUUGUCCGGAAUUAUUGGGCGUAAAGCGCGCGCAGGUGGUUUCUUAAGUCUGAUGUGAAAGCCCACGGCUCAACCGUGGAGGGUCAUUGGAAACUGGGGAACUUGAGUGCAGGAGAGAAGAGUGGAAUUCCAGGUGUAGCGGUGAAAUGCGUAGAUAUCUGGAGGAACACCGGUGGCGAAGGCGGCAUCCUGGACCAAUUCUGACACUGAGGAGCGAAAGCCAGGGGAGCAAACGGG
RNAcentral lists this ribosomal RNA (253 nucleotides) under uncultured bacterium. RNAcentral's name for it is "partial 16S ribosomal RNA". It matches the Rfam family "Bacterial small subunit ribosomal RNA", at positions 524 to 776 of the family's 1533-position model. The record is from RNAcentral.